Molecule: ribosomal RNA, 468 nt
Filed under: uncultured bacterium
Lineage: Bacteria
Description: partial 16S ribosomal RNA
Rfam family: Bacterial small subunit ribosomal RNA
Source: RNAcentral
GACGAACGCUGGCGGCGUGCUUAACACAUGCAAGUCGAACGGAAAGGCCCUGCUUUUGUGGGGUGCUCGAGUGGCGAACGGGUGAGUAACACGUGAGUAACCUGCCCUUGACUUUGGGAUAACUUCAGGAAACUGGGGCUAUUACCGGAUAGGAGCUCCUGCUGCAUGGUGGGGGUUGGAAAGUUUCGGCGGUUGGGGAUGGACUCGCGGCUUAUCAGCUGGUUGGUGGGGUAGUGGCUUACCAAGGCUUUGACGGGUAGCCGGCCUGAGAGGGUGACCGGCCACAUUGGGACUGAGAUACGGCCCAGACUCCUACGGGAGGCAGCAGUGGGGAAUAUUGCACAAUGGGCGGAAGCCUGAUGCAGCAACGCCGCGUGCGGGAUGACGGCCUUCGGGUUGUAAACCGCUUUCGCCUGUGACGAAGCGUGAGUGACGGUAAUGGGUAAAGAAGCACCGGCUAACUACGUG